Molecule: ribosomal RNA, 482 nt
Filed under: uncultured bacterium
Lineage: Bacteria
Description: partial 16S ribosomal RNA
Rfam family: Bacterial small subunit ribosomal RNA
Source: RNAcentral
AUUGAACGCUGGCGGCAUGCUUUACACAUGCAAGUCGAACGGUAACAGGCCGCAAGGUGCUGACGAGUGGCGAACGGGUGAGUAAUGCAUCGGAACGUGCCCAGUCGUGGUGGAUAACUACUCGAAAGAGUAGCUAAUACCGCAUACGAGCUAUGGAUGAAAGCGGGGGACCGUAAGGCCUCGCGCGAUUGGAGCGGCCGAUGUCAGAUUAGGUAGUUGGUGGGGUAAAGGCUCACCAAGCCAACGAUCUGUAGCUGGUCUGAGAGGACGACCAGCCACACUGGGACUGAGACACGGCCCAGACUCCUACGGGAGGCAGCAGUGGGGAAUUUUGGACAAUGGGCGCAAGCCUGAUCCAGCAAUGCCGCGUGCAGGAAGAAGGCCUUCGGGUUGUAAACUGCUUUUGUACGGAACGAAACGGCUCUGGUUAAUACCCGGGGCUAAUGACGGUACCGUAAGAAUAAGCACCGGCUAACUACGUG